RNAcentral lists this transfer RNA (68 nucleotides) under Cricetulus griseus (Chinese hamster). It matches the Rfam family "tRNA". Rfam says of the family: Transfer RNA (tRNA) molecules are approximately 80 nucleotides in length. Lineage: Eukaryota; Metazoa; Chordata; Mammalia; Rodentia; Cricetidae. The record is from Rfam by way of RNAcentral.
GGGAUGGCUCAGUGGUUAAGAGCACUGGCUGCUCUUCCAGAAGACCUGGGUUCAAUUCCUAGCACCCA